GAUGAACGCUAGCGGCAGGCCUAACACAUGCAAGUCGAGGGGCAGCACGGAUUGCUUGCAAUCUGGUGGCGACCGGCGCACGGGUGCGUAACGCGUAUACAACCUACCUUUUGGAGGGGAAUAGCCCAGAGAAAUUUGGAUUAAUACCCCAUAGUAUAUAGGAAUCUCCUGAUUUUUAUAUUAAACAUUUAUGGCCAUUAGAUGGGUAUGCGUCCUAUUAGCUAGUUGGUGUGGUAACGGCACACCAAGGCUACGAUAGGUAGGGGUCCUGAGAGGGAGAUCCCCACACUGGUACUGAGACACGGACCAGACUCCUACGGGAGGCAGCAGUGAGGAAUAUUGGACAAUGGGCGAGAGCCUGAUCCAGCCAUGCCGCGUGCAGGAAGACUGCCCUAUGGGUUGUAAACUGCUUUUACAGAGGAAGAACCACCCCCACGUGUGGGGGUUUGACGGUACUCUGCGAAUAAGGAUCGGCUAACUCCGUG
RNAcentral lists this ribosomal RNA (485 nucleotides) under uncultured bacterium. RNAcentral describes it as "bacterial SSU rRNA". It matches the Rfam family "Bacterial small subunit ribosomal RNA", at positions 28 to 507 of the family's 1533-position model. The record is from RNAcentral.